This is a non-coding RNA of Cinara cedri, 398 nucleotides long. The record is from the annotation of a GenBank genome assembly. NCBI's taxonomy places the organism in Eukaryota, Metazoa, Arthropoda, Insecta, Hemiptera, Aphididae.
CUACUGUAAAAAUACCACACCGCAAUCAAAAUUAUAAAAUUGUUAACAUUAUAGUAUCACGACAUAAACUGUAUACUAGGUAUAUAGGCCCCCUGUAUAUAAUGAUAAUAAUAAUAAAUCACUGUGUAACUUACUUGAUGAAGGUAAAUCUGACAAAUUAUUAAACAAGUUUACAGUGUCUAAUUUAUUUGUGUUUUAUACAGCCAUGUGACAUAACUUGUAUUCUUGUAAUUUACAUAUUUGUUUGAGUUAAAAGUAUUUCCAUUUGUGUAUUAUACAACUAAUAAAGUUUUUAUUUAUUUUGGAAAGCCAUGAAGUACAAGGGUAGGUAUGUUUGUGUAAAUCAUUGGUGGAUAUUGGAAUACAAAUACUCGGUGUAAAGAACAAAGAAAUUUACA